UACAGAGGGUGCAAGCGUUAAUCGGAAUUACUGGGCGUAAAGCGUGCGUAGACGGUUACAUAAGUCGGGUGUGAAAGCCCCGGGCUCAACCUGGGAAUUGCAUUCGAGACUGCGUAGCUAGGGUGCGGAAGAGGGAAGCGGAAUUUCCGGUGUAGCGGUGAAAUGCGUAGAUAUCGGAAGGAACACCAGUGGCGAAGGCGACUACCUGGCCUGUUCUUGACGCUGAGGCGCGAAAGCUAGGGGAGCAAACGGG
Molecule: ribosomal RNA, 253 nt
Filed under: uncultured bacterium
Lineage: Bacteria
Description: partial 16S ribosomal RNA
Rfam family: Bacterial small subunit ribosomal RNA
Source: RNAcentral